ACCAACAGGGAUUGCCUUAGUAGCGGCGAGUGAAGCGGCAAAAGCUCAAAUUUGAAAUCUGGCUCUUUCAGAGUCCGAGUUGUAAUUUGAAGAAGGUAUCUUUGGGUCUGGCUCUUGUCUAUGUUUCUUGGAACAGAACGUCACAGAGGGUGAGAAUCCCGUGCGAUGAGAUGAUCCAGGCCUAUGUAAAGUUCCUUCGAAGAGUCGAGUUGUUUGGGAAUGCAGCUCUAAGUGGGUGGUAAAUUCCAUCUAAAGCUAAAUAUUGGCGAGAGACCGAUAGCGAACAAGUACAGUGAUGGAAAGAUGAAAAGAACUUUGAAAAGAGAGUGAAAAAGUACGUGAAAUUGUUGAAAGGGAAGGGCUUGAGAUCAGACUUGGUAUUUUGUAUGUUACUUCUUCGGGGGUGGCCUCUACAGUUUAUCGGGCCAGCAUCAGUUUGGGCGGUAGGAGAAUUGCGUUGGAAUGUGGCACGGCUUCGGUUGUGUGUUAUAGCCUUCGUCGAUACUGCCAGCCUAG
RNAcentral lists this ribosomal RNA (516 nucleotides) under Candida tropicalis. RNAcentral's name for it is "partial large subunit ribosomal RNA". It matches the Rfam family "Eukaryotic large subunit ribosomal RNA", at positions 64 to 586 of the family's 3401-position model. The record is from RNAcentral. Lineage: Eukaryota; Fungi; Ascomycota; Pichiomycetes; Serinales; Debaryomycetaceae.